This 565-nucleotide ribosomal RNA is filed under the name uncultured archaeon. RNAcentral describes it as "bacterial SSU rRNA". It matches the Rfam family "Archaeal small subunit ribosomal RNA", at positions 319 to 879 of the family's 1478-position model. RNAcentral also lists the same sequence under 1 other name. The record is from RNAcentral.
UUAACUGGGUUGUAUGCGGGCGCGAAACUUUCCCAUACCAUGCCAACUGGAAAAAGGGGAUCCCAAAGUGGAAGGGCAUACAGCCCUCGCUAAAUAAAAAACCGUAAGGUGGUACAGGAACAAGAGCUGGGCAAGACCGGUGCCAGCCCGCCGCGGUAAUACCGGCAGCUCGAGUGAUGGCCGAUUUUAUUGGGCCUAAAGCGUCCGUAGCUGGCCGCGCAAGUCCGUCGGGAAAUCCACCCGCUCAACGGAUGGGCGUCCGGCGGAAACUCCGCGGCUUGGGACCGGAAGGCUCGAGGGGUACGUCCGGGGUAGGAGUGAAAUCCCGUAAUCCUGGACGGACCGCCGAUGGCGAAAGCACCUCGAGAGGACGGAUCCGACAGUGAGGGACGAAAGCUAGGGUCUCGAACCGGAUUAGAUACCCGGGUAGUCCUAGCCGUAAACGAUGCCCGCUAGGUGUGGCACCCGCUACGAGCCGGUGCUGUGCCGUAGGGAAGCCGAUAAGCGAGCCGCCUGGGAAGUACGUCUGCAAGGAUGAAACUUAAAGGAAUUGGCGGGGGAGCAC